RNAcentral lists this long non-coding RNA (201 nucleotides) under Elaeis guineensis (African oil palm). RNAcentral's name for it is "long non-coding RNA (EGUI_LNC016373)". Lineage: Eukaryota; Viridiplantae; Streptophyta; Magnoliopsida; Arecales; Arecaceae. The record is from RNAcentral.
AGUCCUGACAACGGCAUGCGGCACUGCCGCCUAGGGGCAUUAUCCCACCUAAGGCAUGGGUCAACCCUAGCGAUUUGACAGCCCCACGGUGAUUUGACACCCUUACGGCGACUCUGACAGUCUUCAGUGAGUUGAUAAUUCUUCAAUUAUCCGCGCUAUUAAUGACGGCGCCAUACCAUGCUCCACUAUAUAUAUCGGAGA